Molecule: long non-coding RNA, 201 nt
Filed under: Mytilus galloprovincialis (Mediterranean mussel)
Lineage: Eukaryota; Metazoa; Mollusca; Bivalvia; Mytilida; Mytilidae
Source: RNAcentral
CUAAAAAUGGGAGAGAUCUGUUUGCGUCAAAAAUGCGUCCUUUUGCGCCACAACAUUUUUUCUCAAAUGCCACGUUUGCGCCAUAUGUUCUAAAAUUACAUGGUAUCAUUUGCGCCAAAAAUAAAACAUACGAUUUCGACAAUUAGAAGAAAAAUUACUUCCCUUACUCCUUUAUUUAGACUUGGAACCUUCAGUUUACAC